UUAAGUAGUGGUGCCGCUCUUAUUAGAAUCCAGAAUAAUAAGAGUCGCUCACUGCUUAUCA
This is a non-coding RNA of Caenorhabditis remanei, 61 nucleotides long. Lineage: Eukaryota; Metazoa; Nematoda; Chromadorea; Rhabditida; Rhabditidae. The record is from Rfam.